GCUGAGCUCUGUAGCGAGAGCUUGUGACCCAAGCGGGAGCAACAAGAUGCGGGAACAACCGUGGUGCAUCCCUUG
This 75-nucleotide non-coding RNA is filed under the name Nicotiana attenuata. The record is from RNAcentral. Lineage: Eukaryota; Viridiplantae; Streptophyta; Magnoliopsida; Solanales; Solanaceae.